AACGCACAUUGCGCCCCGUGGUAUUCCGCGGGGCAUGCCUGUUCGAGCGUCAGUACAACACUCAAGCUCUGCUUGGUCUUGAGCCCCGCCGGCAACGGCAGGCUUUAAAAUCAGUGGCGGCGCCACCUGGCUCUAAGCGUAGUAAUACACCCCGCUACAGAGUCCCGGUGGAUGCUUGCCAGCAACCCCCAACUUCUAAGUUUGACCUCGGAUCAGGUAGGGAUACCCGCUGAACUUAA
RNAcentral lists this unclassified non-coding RNA (239 nucleotides) under uncultured fungus. RNAcentral describes it as "partial contains 5.8S ribosomal RNA, internal transcribed spacer 2, and large subunit ribosomal RNA". The stretch from base 1 to 52 matches the Rfam family "5.8S ribosomal RNA", at positions 103 to 154 of the family's 154-position model. RNAcentral also lists the same sequence under 1 other name. The record is from RNAcentral. Lineage: Eukaryota; Fungi.